Molecule: long non-coding RNA, 1958 nt
Organism: Petromyzon marinus (sea lamprey)
Lineage: Eukaryota; Metazoa; Chordata; Hyperoartia; Petromyzontiformes; Petromyzontidae
Source: RefSeq, a predicted model, not a curated record
UCCAGCCAGUUCGGAGCUCACGCGGGCUCUGCGGGUCGCAAUUAACAACUGUGCAAGAUUGGACGCGGCUAUUGAGUUUGAAGAGCAUCACAAUGGGUUGUGUGUCGGUGUGGCGCCUUCAGUGAUGCUACUCUGCGACCGUCAUCCAAUCAAUCCACUGCUCGAUGACUAGAAUCAUCGACGCAUACCCAUGAAGAUGCCACGAUCCAGCUGCCGCACGUGAGCUGAUCGUAUCGCACUGUCCUCACGGUUUCAGGCGCACCCGUCCAGAAGCACCGGCGUGCUUUCCUGCUUUGGCUACUUCAGGGAAACAAUGUAGGUGAGAUCAGCACUGCCUGGCGUCACAGCACCUCCUGGCGUCACAACACCGCCUGGCGUCACAACACCGCCUGGCAUCCCAACACCGCCUGGCGUCACAGCACCUCCUGGCGUCACAACACCGCCUGGCGUCACAACACCGCCUGGCGUCCCAACACCGCCUGGCGUCACAACACUGCCUGGCGUCCCAACACUGCCCGGCGUCACAACACUGCCCGGCGUCCCAACACCGCCUGGCGUCACAACACUGCCUGGCGUCACAGCACCGCCUGGCGUCACAGCACCGCCUGGCGUCACAGCACCUCCUGGCGUCACAACACUGCCUGGCGUCCCAACACUGCCUGGCGUCACAGCACUGCCUGGCGUCCCAACACCGCCUGGCAUCACAGCACCGCCUGGCGUCACAGCACCGCCUGGCGUCACAACACCGCCUGGCGUCACAACACUGGGUUAAGAGCCACCGCUCUCUACAGUCUACACGUCUGGAAUACCCCAAGAUCGACCCAGAUCAGACUCCGCAAAAAAGUAUCCGUCAUACAUCUGUGUCUCCACAAUAAACCUGACAUUGCUGGUGAGAUACAGUUUCCUUUUUGCAGUGAAUCAAUGCCCUCGGCUCUGUGGGUUGUUGUAGCUCUUCUGCUGCUGCUGCUGCACGUGGCCUGUAAUUCAGCACUGUGGAGCCAGGUAGCUAGAUCACCAGAUCUCACGCGUUACCGCGUCGCUUACUUAAUUCACUUCGUAACUAAUUAUAAGAUGUAAUUACACCUUCAUACAAUUAAGGAUAGGCGAUUUUCUCCGGCCAAUAGAUUCAUCUUAUUCAACUCACCUGCCAAUCACAACCAGUCCACCAGUAAUCGACGCCAAUUGUUGAACAAGUUCACGUGCAUAGCUGUGCGGGAAGCCCAUUGCACGCGAGAGCUGAACUCUUGUUGACGCCUGAUGAUGCCGGGUGUAAUCUCGCGCGAAACGUCGAAUAAAAUUGUCAGAAAUGUUGCUUCUUUUGUUCAACGUUCCUCCACCGGCUUACUGAAGGAAAAAAAAACAAUUGACAUAUUUGCCCACGUGACAAAAUGUGUUGAAUAGCUCAGUCGGGUGGUGGAGGGCUAUCAUCAAAAUAAUUGAUAUUAUACACAAGAUCCGACCCAAAAACGACCUAAUGAUGAAUCAUAACAGUAAGCGUGAUAGCCUACGGAGUCAAAUAAACAAAAUUAACUGAAAAAGAUAAUCUCACCUGUGUCACCGAUUGGGAGGUGGCUGGGUGUGGCUUGGUGACAUAAUCAGCAUCAUAUCAUUGGGCUUGGCUUGCGAUUUGGGGGGUUUCCUGCCUUCAGGGAUGAGGCAGGAUGUGGGAACUCCCGAGUCAUUACCCGAGGAGUACGAACGUCGUAGGCGCUAACCAGACGACCGAAGAAUGUUCCGUGUAUGUGUGCGAAACGUAUGGUAUGUUGAUUCUUGGACUUCGUAUAUAUUUCGCAGAGAAGUAUUUGGGUUUGAAAGAAAAAAAACUUUCAUUAUUUUAGUGUUUCAACCACCGUUCUUGUCAUCGCAUUCCAAACCUCCCUUGCAAAACAAACGCCCCAAAAAAUGUUGACAUUAUACAUAACGACUGCACAAGCGUGUAAUAAAGCUCACCGUUUACU